RNAcentral lists this small RNA (1991 nucleotides) under Oryza sativa Japonica Group (Japanese rice). Its description in RNAcentral is "sRNA Os11g0554000". Lineage: Eukaryota; Viridiplantae; Streptophyta; Magnoliopsida; Poales; Poaceae. The record is from RNAcentral.
GAUUUACCAAGUGCAAGUUCAUGCAUGAUCUGCGCCGGUUCGAGCAACGUACGUCUCGUCGAUCUCCGCGCGCCGCCGUACGUGGUCGAUCGUCGUUCCCGGUACGUUUAGAGAAUCGACAUAUCGAUCCAUGUUAACAUUAAUUCGAUAUCUUGCCGUCUGUAUCGUUUUGAUGCACCGUCGUUCGUGCAUGACGACCCGAUGACCGUCGGAACUGAGUUUAGACUUUAGAGAGGGGAGAGGCGCAUUGAGUUUUUCUAGCGAUUGCGUGACACAUAGGGCCUGUUUAGCGUAGCUUAUGAUUCUGAGAAACAGCUGAUUGGUAGCCAGCUUCUAAGAAUUUAAAAAAGUUGAAUUUCUCAGCUUCUGUCUUCUAAUUCAUUUCCUAUAUUCUACAACUACAACUUCUUAGAAAUCUGGACUAAAGUUGGACUGUUUGAGGGAACUUCUAAUUCUGGAAGAAGCUACAGCAGCUAGAAGCUCCUCCCAACAGGCACUAUUCCCCUCUUGUCUUCGUAACCGUCUCGACGUAUUACCGAUGGUGGUAUAUACGAAGUACUUUUCAUAUAUAUAGACACACACUUUUCAACGUGUAAGAUUUUUGUGUGUUCGCGAAAGAAAAAAAGACGGCUAAUAGGCUUUUUCUUCCCCCAAGGAAUAGGGGCAUAAACAUACUUGCUUCCCGAUCAAGCUUAACGGUGUGAUUUUCGGAAAAAAAUGACAUUCUAAACAUAAAUUCCUUGAAAAACUAUUUAAAUCUAUCUUUUGACUUUAUAAUAUCUAAUUAAUUUAUUUGUAUCCUUGUAAUUAUAAAAGAAAUCAUUGAACUAUUCGGAAAAAAAAACUCUUUCUACAGGACGGAAUUUUCAUAUUAGGGUCGUGAUGAAUUAUUCUGUGGAGUACUCCCUCCAUUUCAAGUUAUAACACAUUUUGACUUUGGUCAAAUUCAAACUGUUUCAAGUUUAACUAAAUUUAUAGACAAAUAUAGUACUUCCUCCGUUUCUUCAUAAUGUAAGUCAUUCUAGCAUUGCUCACACUCAUAUAUAUGUUAAUAAAUCUAGACACAUAUAUAAAUCUAGAUUCAUUAACAUGUAUAUGAAUAUAGACAAUGCUAUAGUGACUUACAUUACGAAACGGAGGGAGUAAUAUUUAUAAUACUAAAUUAGUUUCAUCAAGUCAAUAAUUGAAUCUAUCUUCAUAAUAAAUUUAUCUUGGGUUAAAAAUGUUACUCCCUCCGUAUCUUAAUGUAUAACGCCGUUGACUUUUUGACUAACAUUUAACCAUUCAUCUUAUUAAAAAAAUUAUGUAAUUAUCAUUUAUUUUAUUAUGAUUUGAUUUAUCAUCAAAUGUUCUUUAAGUAUGAUAUAAAUAUUUUUAUAUUUGCAUCAAAAUUUUGAAUAAGACGAAUGGUCAAAAGUUGAUAAAAAGUCAAUGGUGUUACGUAUAUAAGUUGAGAGACACGUUAUAUAUGAUAUUAUAGUUUGAAGAUGUGAAUUAAACUCGACGUCAAGUCGAGAGACUCAACGUGAAUUUAUUCCUGCAGAAGGGCUAUGUAUCCCUGAGUCAGGCCUUCAUAACCCAACCGGGGGAUUUAACAUGGACCACGUUCUGACACUGGUGGAGAAAUGCUUUUUAGUCGCGGUUCGUAACCUCCCUGUAGUCUCGGUUUUUCAACCGGGACUACGAAUCCGGGACUAAAGAUCGCUAUCUUUAGUCCCGGUUCAAAUAAUCGGGACUAAAAAUCAAUCUUUACCAACCGGGACUAAAGAUGGAGCCACCAACCGGGACUAAAGAUAUUUUUUUUCUUUUUUUUUUCUGCUUUUAAUAUUGAAUAUUGAUUUCACACCGUCCCCUCCCAUAUCCAAAUCAUCACAUACCACAGAACAUCUCCAAAUCCUCAAAUCCUCAAACAAAUCAUCUCCAAAUACAUCACAAACUCUUAAAAAAAUUACAUCACAGGGUUCUAAAAAAAUUCAUCACAGAUUCACAUC